CGCGCCUACGGGACGCAGCAGUGGGGAAUAUUGCACAAUGGGGGAAACCCUGAUGCAGCGACGCCGCGUGAGUGAAGAAGUAUUUCGGUAUGUAAAGCUCUAUCAGCAGGGAAGAAAAUGACGGUACCUGACUAAGAAGCCCCGGCUAACUACGUGCCAGCAGCCGCGGUAAUAUGUAGGGGGCAAGCGUUAUCCGGAUUUACUGGGUGUAAAGGGAGCGUAGACGGCAGCGCAAGUCUGAAGUGAAAUCCCAUGACUUAACCAUGGAACUGCUUUGGAAACUGUGCAGCUGGAGUGCAGGAGUG
This 305-nucleotide ribosomal RNA is filed under the name uncultured bacterium. RNAcentral's name for it is "bacterial SSU rRNA". It matches the Rfam family "Bacterial small subunit ribosomal RNA", at positions 334 to 656 of the family's 1533-position model. The record is from RNAcentral.